CGAGAUGGUACACUGCUGAGUGCCAUAACUCUUCUUUGAUUCUUGACAGAAGGUCAAGCUACCUUUCAACCGUUAGUGCUAUUAAACAGCCCAUCAGAGCUACUAGGUCCAGAAAUAUAAUGCUACAACAUAGAAAUAUCAACACCAUCGAAGUUGUUGGUAACAAAGACGAUUUUGCGGGUUUGUGCUCAAGAUCAACAAACAGCUGGUAGUUUUUAAACUUCUGUCGUCCUUCUGUAUAUUUCAAACUAAAUAAGAAGCCAACAACACAUUCUCUGGUAGGUGGUUGUAUACCCAGAUCAUCACAGCAUCGCCCCUGC
Molecule: long non-coding RNA, 320 nt
Filed under: Panicum hallii
Lineage: Eukaryota; Viridiplantae; Streptophyta; Magnoliopsida; Poales; Poaceae
Description: long non-coding RNA (PHAL_LNC000863)
Source: RNAcentral